AUGCUUACGUGCAGAAGAAGAAUAGGGAGAGAGGUGAGGGUGAAGAGUCGCUCAAUACCUUCACGGGAUGAUGUCUCUCCCGCAAGUCAAAGAAACUGGAAGGGGGGGUGGGUCAACCCAAGGGCUGGGUUGAGGAUUGAUGCAUAUAAUGGGAAGUUCAAGGAGUGCAACGGGCCCAACUCUGAUCCAGCCUCACAUGACAUUGAUGUUACGGUUUCCCUCAAGUCGGGACAAGGCAAGAAGCGUGGGCGGUUAUAUGUUGGUGACGGUUCCAUCCGUAAGAAGGACAUUCCAAAACUUGCCCAUCUCCGUGCUACCACGUCGAGCUCAGGUCCUGCUAUUGAGCGUCGCCCAGAGCCUGGGCUGCACAUGAUGCAUCAAUUCCAUGCUCGCCUAGAGGAAGAAAGCAGGUUGCGGCAGGAAGAAACCAGGUUGCGGCUGGAGGCUCAGGCCAAUGCCCUACUUCAACAGGAGCAAGCCAUGAAAAUGCAGCAAGCCCUGUUUCAGCAGCAGGAAUUCAUGGUUAAACAGCAGGCGGCCCUGCAGGAGACGUUCGCUCGGUUCAGUACUAAUAUGCAGGGUUCUACUUUGCGGAUCUUCCUCCUGUUCCGCCGCUUCCUACUUUUAGCUUUUGUCCUCGAUCGGGAGAAGACUCCAAUAACUUUGUGGUAG
This 672-nucleotide ribosomal RNA is filed under the name Triticum aestivum (bread wheat). RNAcentral's name for it is "partial small subunit ribosomal RNA". The record is from RNAcentral. Lineage: Eukaryota; Viridiplantae; Streptophyta; Magnoliopsida; Poales; Poaceae.